UUAAGCCAUGCGAGUCGAAUGUAGCAAUACAUGGCGAACUGCUCAGUAACACGUGGACAACCUGCCCUUAGGUUGGGUAUAAACCCGGGAAACUGGGUAUAAUACCCGAUAGGUCUCGAUUGCUGGAAUGCAUCGAGAUUUAAAGCUCCGGCGCCUAAGGAUGGGUCUGCGGCCUAUCAGGUAGUAGUGGGUGUAGCGUACCUACUAGCCUACGACGGGUACGGGUUGUGAGAGCAGGAGCCCGGAGAUGGAUUCUGAGACACGAAUCCAGGCCCUACGGUGUGCAGCAGGCGCGAAAACUUUACAAUGCUGGCAACAGCGAUAAGGGAACCUCGAGUGCCAGGUUACAAAUCUGGCUGUCGAGAUGCCUAAAAAGCAUUUCAUAGCAAGGGCCGGGCAAGACCGGUGCCAGCCGCCGCGGUAACACCGGCGGCUCGAGUGGUAACCGUUAUUAUUGGGUCUAAAGGGUCUGUAGCCGGCCGGAUAAGUCUCUUGAGAAAUCUGGCAGCUUAACUGUCAGGCUUUCAGGAGAUACUGUCUGGCUCGAGGCCGGGAGAGGUGAGAGGUACUUCAGGGGUAGGGGUGAAAUCUUGUAAUCCUUGAAGGACCACCAGUGGCGAAGGCGUCUCACCAGAACGGACCUGACGGCAAGGGACGAAAGCUAGGGGCACGAACCGGAUUAGAUACCCGGGUAGUCCUAGCCGUAAACGAUACUCGCUAGGUGUCGGCCACGGUGCGACCGUUGUCGGUGCCGUAGGGAAGCCGUGAAGCGAGCCACCUGGGAAGUACGGCCGCAAGGCUGAAACUUAAAGGAAUUGGCGGGGGAGCACCACAACGGGUGGAGCUUGCGGUUUAAUUGGAUUCAACGCCGGAAAUCUUACCGGGACCGACAGCAAUAUGAAGGCCAGGCUGAAGACUUUGCCGGAUUAGCUGAGAGGUGGUGCAUGGCCGUCGUCAGUCGUACUGANNAU
RNAcentral lists this ribosomal RNA (971 nucleotides) under uncultured Methanosarcinales archaeon. RNAcentral describes it as "bacterial SSU rRNA". It matches the Rfam family "Archaeal small subunit ribosomal RNA", at positions 44 to 1021 of the family's 1478-position model. Lineage: Archaea; Methanobacteriati; Methanobacteriota; Methanomicrobia; Methanosarcinales. The record is from RNAcentral.